UUUUGAGAAGAUCCUUUAGGACAUUGGCACAAACGCCAAGUUUGAGAGUUUUUCUAGGGCAGCUUCCUGAGGAGGAUGGAGAUGGGGUGGGCUUAGGUUUAGGUUUGGGAAUGGAACCGCAGCCACCACCACAAGCUGUAGUUAGCGUGAAAAAGAGGAUGUUGAAUGUGAGGAAAAUGAUAAGGGAGGCUGAGAUUUUGGAAGCCAUCUUUCCAAAGAUAAAUUUCAAAUUGAGCAAGUUCUAAGAUGGAAAUGUUGCUCUAGAGAGUGGUGAAGUAAAAUGAAGAACGGAUGUGUGUAUAUAUAUUAGGAUUGCAAGGGGUUGGACAGUUAAAUAAAGCUGUCUUACUAAAUCAUUUUGACAAUUAUUAACUUCUUUGAUAUUUUAGUGACAGUGGAACAUUGUUUUAUUAAAUGGUUACAAUAAAUCGUUUUUCAUAUAUCAUUCAGAAAUGUGCACAAUCAUGGAACUUAUUUAAUAAUGAUGUUGUGAUGUAGUAGUUUUUUUUUUGUCAACUAAAUUUUGAUCCGUGUUUUCAAAUCACGAAAUAUUUUAUGAUAAUUUUUUAAUUAACAUUGUGACAAUUAAUUUUUAAGAAUUGACAAUUGUGUCAAUUCAAAACGUUGUUUUAUUUAAAUCAAUGUCUCUAAACCGAUCUGGAUCUGCGGUCAUACUGGUAAACCAAUAAUCCGAUAUGUAAUCUUGUUUGAGUUUUAAGAAAUAUCCAUAUCUUAUUUAAAAUCCAAUAAAAUUCGUAAGAACCCGGUAAAUCUUAAGACUAACCGGUUAAACCAAUGGGUGAUCGAUAUGUAAAAAAUGUCAUUAACAAUGUUUCAAAUCAUUAACAAUGUUUCAAACGUUUUGUUAAUUUGUAAGAAUUGUGUCGAUUUAAAAUAGUUUUUUAUUUAAAUCAGCAUUUUAAAUCCGACUCAAAUCCGCGGUCGAACCGGUAAACUGGUAAUCCGAUAUGUAAUUUGGUUUGAAUUUACCCAUUAUUUAAAAACCCAAUAAAAUCCGUAAAAACUGCUAAAUCUCAAGGCUUACUGCUUAAACCGAUGCGUGACCGAAAUGUAAAUCUUAUUUGAUUUGAAUUGUAAAUUUUAAAAUUUAUGUUUAAAUAAUUAUUAGUUUUAAUAUUAUUGUAUUUUUGUUAUAUCUCUUUUAAUUCCAACUUCUUAAGAAAUGGAACCUAGACUUAGUUAUUUCAUAAUUAGAUUAACAUUCGGAAACCUUUUAAAAACUACACAAUAACAAAAUCACAUAAGAUAUCAUAAGCAAUACGACUAAUAUAUAAAGAUAUAAUCAUAUAAACUAGACUAUGGUGUGUAUAAAACUAGUGGUCAUUAACGAAUGUUUGUUUGUUUAAAUUUUCUUUUUGUCAAAUUUUUUGAGAGAGAACUGCUUAGCUUUAUAUUGAAUAUUCCUUUUUGGUUUUUGAGAAGCAGAUGUGGCUUUUGUUAUUGUGCAAGACUUCCUUAUCCAUCGAAUAUUCCUUUCCAAUUGUUAGAAUCUUACCAUUAAAAUUGAUUUAAAAAUUCCAGCAUUAAUAAUCGUGAUAUAAAGUAUUACCAUAUAAAUAUUCCUUUUCAAUUUUUUAUGUUUCUGGUUUAAUAAUAUUGAUUUUAUUGAAGGAUUAACUCGUUGAUCGUUGUUUUACUAAAAGUGAAUCACUGUUUUAUUAAGUGGUUAAGAUAAAUCUUUUUUUUUUAAUUUCAAUUAAUGAGUUAUCCGCCUCCAUACGCGGGAAUAAAGAUUUACGAAAGAAAUAGUAAUUAAACAUUAUUUGUGUUUUGUUUAGUUUAAUAUUUUAUAUUAUUUUAGAUAAGAUGAUUAUUUCUGAGUUAUUGAGUUGUGAUGUUUUAACGUACAGAAUAUUCAGCUUUACUAUGAUAUUUGUUUCUAAAAUUCUAGUUUAACUUUUAAACAAAUUCUAAUCUAAUUUUAAUCUGGUGUAGUUAGUUUCAUAUUAUUUGUAUGGAUAUUUUAAUUUUAAUUUUGUUUAUUUAUUUAUUUGGGUUUAUUACUGAAGUUUGUGAAUUAUGAAAACUCACAAAUAACUUAUAAAAUUUACAAACUAACAAAAUUCAAAACUGAAAAGUAUGGUUUAAGACCAGUUUAAAAUUUCAUCAUUUAAAUUAUAACAUCACAUUUAAAAAAGUAACUGAAGUUAAGAUUUAUCAUUUUAUUCAAAAAAAUAAAUUUAAAAUAUUCAGUUGUUUUAAAAAACAUAUAAAAUCAAUUAAAACAAAUUAAGUUUAGAAAUAUUUCUAGUAAACAAUAGAUCUAAUUUUCUAAUGUGAAGUCAACACUAAGUAAAAAUAAAAUGUGCCGUGUACUAAAAUAAAAUCUUGUUUCUAGCAGAGUAGCAAACAUGAUAGGUAUUAAAACUUUUGGAAGAAUUUCAUGUUUAUCAUUUUCAUAGUACUAUUAUUCAUCUUUAUCAUCACUGGAGGGCAAUAAUAUAGUAUUCAUUAAGUGACAAAAGACUCUUAUAUCCUUGUUAUGUAUAUACAUAUAUAAUUAUUUAAAUAAUAAAAUAAAACCAAUUUAAAAGUAAUUUUUUAUAUUUUUGAAUUAUACUUAUUCAAAUUUAAACUUUUUUUUUAUAAAUUAAAAAAAAUUUGCAAAAUUCAAAUUUCUUUUUGAAAAUAAAAAAUUAUGUUUUUAAACUAUUCUUUUUUUUAAAUAUAAUUUUUUAACUAUUUAUUUAUAUACUUUUUAGAAUCUUAAAUUCACAUUCCAAAAACCUUACUCCACUCCUCAACUCUAAAGCUUAAGUCUAAAUUAGUUAAUCCUAAGAGUAUAAAUGUCUUUUAUCCUUCAUUAAAAGUGAAGGUAAAAUUGGUUAGUGUACACAUGAAAAGUGGUACUAUGAAUGUGAUAUUUGUGGUAAUUUCCCAAAACUUUUCAACUAAUUCUAUUACAUGUUAGAAUUGUUGUCUCGAUAAAAUAUGUAGAGUUAUUUGAGGUAUUCUUUCAUUAUAAAUUGAGUAUAUGAUAUUCAUUUUGAUCUUUCAUGUAUUCAAAGAUGAAUGAAUUUCUCUAAAGAAAAUAAUGGUAGUGGUUUCUUACGAAGAAAAGACAUAUUUUUUAUGAAUAAAGUAUAAUUUUAUAUAUCAAAUUAUUUUUGUUGGUAAUGCAAACUUGAAAACAAUAUUUUUUUAUAUAUUGUUUGAACAUUCAUAUAUUAUCAAGAUUGGAAAUUUUUAUUUAAAAAUGUUAAUUUUUUUUAGAAAUUAAAAAUUGAUUAAAAUAAAAUUAAAUAGUACUAUGAUGUUUCUAACUAACGUAAAAAAAUUAUAAAAAUAUUUUUUUUAUUCAAUUACAUGUUUUAAAUAUAAAAAUCAUAUAUAUUUAUACUAAAGAUAUUGCUUUUUCGAUAGUAAGGUGAUUGGCAAACAAAGUUUAACAGAAAGGUUAAAUAAAAAAUAUUAGUAAUGACAUUGUAAUAAUAAACUUACUUCAUUAAGAUUAUCAUUGAAAUUAACUAUUAUAAGAAUUAACAUGACAACAACACAUAGUAAACUAAUUUCUCAAAUAAUAUCACAGAGAUAUAUUUGGUUUUUUAUUAAUAGUAAAAGUAUAAUUUUUAUUGUUGCAAAAAUAUAUUUUAUUGUUGCAAAAAUAUAUUUUAUUUUGUAAAGAUUUAUUUUAUUUUGUAAGAAAUUAAUGCUAAUAUUUUUUUUAAAAAAAAUUGACUUUCCAAAUAAUAUUAUAAAAAUAAAUAAAUAUAUUUUAAUAUUAAAUGGUUAAAGGUAAAACGGUAUUUUGUACAAUUUGUGUCACAAUUAAACUUGCUUGCCAAAAACUAGAUUUAGCAACAAAUUGGAAUUCCUUGUGGCCUCAACUGGUUUUCUUUUAGUUUAAAAAAAAACUAGAUUUAAACUGGAAUCCAUGCACAUGUGUAGAAUAAAUCAUUCGUAUUGUAGCUGGCGCCUGGCGAUUGUGUUUGUAGAUUGGUUUUUUUGUGACCACACAGUCUGGAUUUUCAUAUGUGUAUUGGCUUAUACUUCUUGUUUUAUUGUAGCUGUCCUGAUCAGAAUAUCAUUAGUGCUAAAAUUCAACAAUUCACAUUACUUCUGAUUUUUAAAAAGAAUGUAAACCAUAGCAGAUCUGACGGAACCAAAAACAAAAAUCACAUACGUUAACGAGUUUUAUUGACCUCCGACUUAAACUUACAACAAGGGGGUAUUGAAACAUAUAAUUAAUAUAUUAGUUUUAAUAUGGGAUCUCAACAUAUGUUUUUACAACGCUGGUUAAUUAUGGUAUUACAAACUAUGAGAAAUAUUACAUCCGAUUCUGUAGCUGAUAAAUUUUACACGCCUUAUGAGAAUUCACGUAUUGACUGCAUCACUUGAGUCGCUCUAUCGAAUCUACAUUUAACGGUACUUCUUGCACCAUUCUGUAGAUCUCUUGUAAGCAUUUUUUCAUUAUACUGCAUAAUUCCGGAUUUUCUGGGACUCAAAACCUAAACAUUUUGAUGUAUAAAUAUUAAUGAAUCCUUUCAACUAAAAAAAAAAACAUUAAUGAACCCUUAAACAUCUCCAAUGGUCCCUCAUUAUGAAGGAAACAUCAAAAAAUAAGAGAAAUCAUUCUCCAAUAAUACAUCAUUUUGAGGAAAAAAUGAGUUUGUGACUAGCACUACUUCAAACACAAACUCAUUUUGAUGUUGGAUUUUUUUAUUUAUAAUCCAUUUCUCCACAGGCGUUUAGGGAAAAGUUUUGGAGCAACAUCAUGUUCAGUUAGACCUAAGAAAAUAGAGCAACAAGGUCUCAUACCCCAGUGUGCUGAAAUUCAAGUUGAUGUGAUUAUGAAUAUUUGCACAUGUCAAAAGUUUGGAUUUUGAAUAUUCUUGACUUAACAUGGUUAGCCUUAUCCUAUAUCAAAAAUUUUAACCAUAAAAUUUGACUUUUAAUAUUUAGCUUUAGAUUUAACGGAGGUAUGUUUUUGUCCAUCUAUAUUUCACCCAAAAUUUAACACGAAAGCUAAAGUUAAAAUAAAAUAAAAUUUUAUUCUCUUAUAUAUAAAAUUAGGUUUCUAAAAAAAACUGCAAAUUCAAAACUUCAUAGAUAUUCUCUUCUCCAAAACCAAAAAAAAAACGGAUCAAUCAAAUCAAAAAAUGAGAUUUGUUCGGGUUUGGAUCUGAUCAAUUUCUCAAGCGGAUCCUAUAUCCAUAGAAUCAAAAGACUGAAACCAAACCAAAAUCGAACAGAGAACCGAAUGGAUACAUGAAUUUCUAUGAUAUAGUUAAUAUACUUAGAAAAAUUAAAUAUAUUUAGUUUUAAAAUAAUCAAAGGAGAUGGAAUGCGCUUCCACCAUUAUGCGUCAGAUAACCAUGGCUGUAAACUCAAUGAGUGGAAGCAGAAGUGGCUCGCUAAAAAAGAGCCGAAGCCGAUAAACCUCACCGUUUGGGACGAUUUUAAGAAGCAUGGGGCAAAUCUGGAAACAAAUGCUCAAUCGGAAACCAACUUCUGUAACCAGUGUAGUCAGCGUGGUGGGUAAGAAGUUUAUGUCCACAAACUGGGGUCCACUAGUUUACAUUUCCGGGAACUUCAGCUUGUCAAGAUCUGUCCGUCGGGAACUCCAAACGACUUUUCUCCAUCAGAAAUUUUCCCGGCGACUUUGUGUCUGUCGGAAAUUUUCCUGACGAAUACCAUCUGUCGGGAUUUUUCAAUUUUCCAAUGAAUUUCCGAGAAUAUGUCCACCGAGAAUCCAUCACGAAGAGUGUUCGUUGGGAAUGCAAAUUUCUGACGGAUUCCCGACAGAUUCUUCUUGUAGUGUUAGUUUAUAGCAAUCCAUUUUUGACUGAUUUUCAGAUGAACCAUGCCAUAACUUUCCAGAUGUUCCGAUGAAUUUGUGUUAUCCUAUUUUGUAAGAACACAUCCUAUCUGAGAAUUCUAACAAAUUGCGUUUCUUUUGAAAAACGAUUGGUAAGAGCUUAUUCUGAUAACGUUCUGACAAACAUGGCAGUUGGUAGUAUGAAAUCAUCUUUCUGGUAAUGGACGUAUAUGAUCCAUUCAAGUUGUUUUGUUAUUUUUUGGUCAAGUUCAGUUUGGCUUCAUCCGGAUUCAAGUCAGUUCGUGUAACUAGUUUGAAAUUCGGUAUUUAUCUAACACUUGCGCAGACACUUGGAUACGUCACUUUAUCUUGAACUAACCACAUAUACGAUUCAGCAUACGGAUGAUAAUGGCGUGAAUUAUAGUAUGGUAUCAAAAUAUUAUUUAGAAAUCUGAAAAAUCUGAAGAUAAUAUUUGUGUCUAAAUUCUGACAAUUACUAACGGUAGACUUACGUGUUAAAUCGUUUUAAAGAUAUGUUGCAAACUGUUAUUGUAUUAGUUAUAUAUGUAUCGUGCAUGUGGUUGCUACGUUCAAUAAUUUGCUGAUAAUGCAUAUUUGUUGGGGAUCCUAUAUCUGUACCAACGUGUUGGCAACAAAUGCGUAAUCAUUAUGCGGGUCAAAUCUUGAGAGAAUAGGUUUAUCAGAAUUUAAUUCUAACUGAACAAUGUUUUGUGUUUAUAGACAUUAUGGUUUCAAGCUUUCAGCGCAGGCAACUCUCAAUAAAUCCAUAUCGCUGAUCAAAAAACAGUGGAAUCCAAUUUAUUUAAUGGAGUUAUAAGAUCUGAUUGGUUUUAUUUCGUUUGUGUAAUUAGUUUCUUGGAUUAUUGUUGUGUUUUGUAUUUUAAUAUUAAUUAAAACUUCCUAUAUUUAAUAGAAUUGUAAAUUUCUUAUGUUCUGCAGUUCUUACAAACAUCCCGAGAAUUUCUUACUGUAGUCGAUUUAUUUUAACGAAUAUAUCAGGUCAACAUAAAUUUAUUUUUUCUUUUAAUCUGCAUGAUAAAAUUAUUAAAUGAACAAUAUUUGGAUAAUUAAUGUGGAAACAAGAAGCCGAUUAAUUAUUUUAAAUUAUGCAUGAGCACACUUUUUAAAGCGGAUACAAUAACAAAAGUAGAAGUAACAAUUAUUCGAUUAAAAAUUGAAAAUUGAAAAUUGAAAAUAGAUAAUUUCAAAGAAUGAUAUAAAGAUAGAUGAAUAUCAAAAAGAGAGGAUAUAUAUUCUCCCAAUAACGAAGCAUUGAUAGGUAGAUCAAGCACAUAUGAAUCCACGAGGGGUCUUCCUUCCACAAGCAUUGAGAAGAAGACUGAGAGAGACGGGAACAUUAAGCUUGAUUCCUAGCACAUUUGCCUUUAAGGCGGUACAGAGACAAGCCGCGGCCUCAAGAUCGACCAAACCCUUAAGGAGUGAACAACAAGGCUUGACUGGUGGCGUGCCCAAUUCGAUUUUGAGAAGAUCCUUGAGGACAUUGGCACAAACGCCAAGUUUGAGAGUUUUUCUAGGGCAACUUCCUGAGGAGGAUGGAGUUGGGGUGGGCUUUGGUUUAGGUUUGGGAAUAGAACCGCAGCCACCGCCACAAGCAGUAGUUAACGUGAAAAAGAGGAUGUUGAAUGUGAGGAAAAUGAUAAGGGAGGCUGAGAUUUUUGAAGCCAUCUUUCCAAAGAUAUACUUCAAAUCGAGCAAUUUUAAGAUGGAAG
This 7530-nucleotide long non-coding RNA is filed under the name Brassica napus (rape). RNAcentral describes it as "long non-coding RNA (BNAP_LNC002411)". The record is from RNAcentral. Lineage: Eukaryota; Viridiplantae; Streptophyta; Magnoliopsida; Brassicales; Brassicaceae.